RNAcentral lists this ribosomal RNA (279 nucleotides) under uncultured bacterium. RNAcentral's name for it is "partial 16S ribosomal RNA". It matches the Rfam family "Bacterial small subunit ribosomal RNA", at positions 506 to 784 of the family's 1533-position model. The record is from RNAcentral.
UGCCAGCCGCCGCGGUAAUACGGAGGGGGUUAGCGUUGUUCGGAAUUACUGGGCGUAAAGCGCACGUAGGCGGAUUAGUAAGUUAGGGGUGAAAUCCCGGGGCUCAACCCCGGAACUGCCUCUAAUACUGCUAGUCUUGAGUUCGAGAGAGGUGAGUGGAAUUCCGAGUGUAGAGGUGAAAUUCGUAGAUAUUCGGAGGAACACCAGUGGCGAAGGCGGCUCUCUGGUCCGGACCUGACGCUGAGGCGCGAAAGCGUGGGGAGCAAACAGGAUUAGAUA